AUUGAACGCUGGCGGCAUGCUUUACACAUGCAAGUCGAACGGUAACAGGCCUUCGGGUGCUGACGAGUGGCGAACGGGUGAGUAAUGCAUCGGAACGUACCCAGAGGUGGGGGAUAACGCAGCGAAAGCUGUGCUAAUACCGCAUGUGAUCUGAGGAUGAAAGCGGGGGACCGAGCAGCAAUGUUUGGCCUCGCGCCUUUGGAGCGGCCGAUGUCGGAUUAGCUAGUUGGUGGGGUAAAGGCCUACCAAGGCGACGAUCCGUAGCUGGUCUGAGAGGACGACCAGCCACACUGGGACUGAGACACGGCCCAGACUCCUACGGGAGGCAGCAGUGGGGAAUUUUGGACAAAGGGCGCAAGCCUGAUCCAGCAAUGCCGCGUGCGGGAAGAAGGCCUUCGGGUUGUAAACCGCUUUUGGCAGGAACGAAACGGUAUCCGCUAAUACCGGGCGCUAAUGACGGUACCUGCAGAAUAAGCACCGGCUAACUACGUG
RNAcentral lists this ribosomal RNA (492 nucleotides) under uncultured bacterium. RNAcentral's name for it is "partial 16S ribosomal RNA". It matches the Rfam family "Bacterial small subunit ribosomal RNA", at positions 29 to 507 of the family's 1533-position model. The record is from RNAcentral.